GAUGAACGCUGGCGGCGUGCCUAAUACAUGCAAGUCGAGCGAACAGACGAGGAGCUUGCUCCUCUGACGUUAGCGGCGGACGGGUGAGUAACACGUGGAUAACCUACCUAUAAGACGGGGAUAACUUCGGGAAACCGGAGCUAAUACCGGAUAAUAUAUUGAACCGCAGGGUUCAAUAGUGAAAGACGGUUUUGCUGUCACUUAUAGAUGGAUCCGCGCCGCAUUAUCUAGUUGGUAAGGUAACGGCCUGCCAAGGCGACGAUGCGUAGCCGACCUGAGAGGAUGAGCAGCCACACUGGAACUGAGACACGGUCCAGACUCCUACGGGAGGCAGCAGUGGGGAAUAUUGGACAAUGGGCGCAAGCCUGAUCCAGCCAUACCGCGUGGGUGAAGAAGGCCUUCGGGUUGUAAAGCCCUUUUGUUGGGAAAGAAAAGCAGCAGGUUAAUACCCCGCUGUUCUGACGGUACCCAAAGAAUAAGCACCGGCUAACUUCGUG
RNAcentral lists this ribosomal RNA (497 nucleotides) under uncultured bacterium. Its description in RNAcentral is "partial 16S ribosomal RNA". It matches the Rfam family "Bacterial small subunit ribosomal RNA", at positions 28 to 507 of the family's 1533-position model. The record is from RNAcentral.